RNAcentral lists this unclassified non-coding RNA (21 nucleotides) under Chlamydomonas reinhardtii. Its description in RNAcentral is "small RNA Cre_1592". Lineage: Eukaryota; Viridiplantae; Chlorophyta; Chlorophyceae; Chlamydomonadales; Chlamydomonadaceae. The record is from RNAcentral.
GAGAGACCGAGCCAUUAGCGG